CCUACGGGUGGCAGCAGUGAGGAAUAUUGGUCAAUUGCCGUAAGGCUGAACCAGCCAAGUCGCGUGAAGGACGAAGGAUCUAUGGUUUGUAAACUUCUUUUAUAGGGGAAUAAAGGUAUCCACGUGUGGAUAUUUGCAUGUACCCUAUGAAUAAGCAUCGGCUAACUCCGUGCCAGCAGCCGCGGUAAUACGGCGGAUUCGAGCGUUCUCCGGAUUUAUUGGGUUUAAAGGGUGCGUAGGUUGGUUUUUACGGCAGCGGUGAAAGUUUGUGGCUCAACCAUAAAAUUGCCGUUGAAACUGGAAGACUUGAGUGUGUUUGAGGUAUGCGGAAUGCGUGGUGUAGCGGUGAAAUGCUUAGAUAUCACGAAGAACUCCGAUUGCGAAGGCAGUUCACUGGACUGCAACUGACACUGAGGCUCGAAAGUGUGGGUAUCAAACAGGAUUAGAUACCCGUGUAGUC
RNAcentral lists this ribosomal RNA (460 nucleotides) under uncultured bacterium. Its description in RNAcentral is "partial 16S ribosomal RNA". It matches the Rfam family "Bacterial small subunit ribosomal RNA", at positions 338 to 795 of the family's 1533-position model. The record is from RNAcentral.